This 88-nucleotide transfer RNA is filed under the name marine sediment metagenome. It matches the Rfam family "tRNA". Rfam says of the family: Transfer RNA (tRNA) molecules are approximately 80 nucleotides in length. Their secondary structure includes four short double-helical elements and three loops (D, anti-codon, and T loops). Further hydrogen bonds mediate the characteristic L-shaped molecular structure. tRNAs have two regions of fundamental functional importance: the anti-codon, which is responsible for specific mRNA codon recognition, and the 3' end, to which the tRNAs corresponding amino acid is attached (by aminoacyl-tRNA synthetases). tRNAs cope with the degeneracy of the genetic code in two manners: having more than one tRNA (with a specific anti-codon) for a particular amino acid; and 'wobble' base-pairing, i.e. permitting non-standard base-pairing at the 3rd anti-codon position. The record is from RNAcentral.
GCCGCGGUAGCUCAGCCUGGUUAGAGCGCCGGCUUGGUAAGCCGGAGGUCGCGGGUUCGAAUGUUUACAGAGUAUCCCGCCCGCGGCU